This 253-nucleotide ribosomal RNA is filed under the name uncultured bacterium. RNAcentral describes it as "partial 16S ribosomal RNA". It matches the Rfam family "Bacterial small subunit ribosomal RNA", at positions 524 to 776 of the family's 1533-position model. The record is from RNAcentral.
UACGGAGGGGGCUAGCGUUGUUCGGAAUUACUGGGCGUAAAGCGCACGUAGGCGGCUUUGUAAGUUAGAGGUGAAAGCCCGGGGCUCAACUCCGGAAUUGCCUUUAAGACUGCAUCGCUAGAAUUGUGGAGAGGUAAGUGGAAUUCCGAGUGUAGAGGUGAAAUUCGUAGAUAUUCGGAAGAACACCAGUGGCGAAGGCGGCGAUCUGGGAAGAUACUGACGCUGAGGUGCGAAAGCGUGGGGAGCAAACAGG